AACGAACGCUGGCGGCAUGCCUAACACAUGCAAGUCGAGCGCCCGAGCGAUCCGGGAGCGGCGCACGGGUGAGUAACGCGUGGGAACCUGCCCUUAGGUUCGGGACAACCGCGGGAAACUGCGGCUGAUACCGGAUGAUGCCCGAGGUGGAAACGCUUUGGGCCAAAGAUUUAUCGCCUUUGGAGGGGCCCGCGUCGGAUUAGGUAGUUGGUGGGGUAACGGCCCACCAAGCCUUUCGAUCCGUAGCNGGUCUGAGAGGAUGGCCAGCCACACUGGGACUGAGACACGGCCCAGACUCCUACGGGAGGGCAGCAGUGGGGAGUAUUGGACAAUGGGGGCAACCCUGAUCCAGCAAUGCCGCGUGGGUGAUGAAGGCCUU
This 379-nucleotide ribosomal RNA is filed under the name uncultured bacterium. Its description in RNAcentral is "bacterial SSU rRNA". It matches the Rfam family "Bacterial small subunit ribosomal RNA", at positions 28 to 418 of the family's 1533-position model. The record is from RNAcentral.